CACAGCCAAUACAGCUGAGAAGCAAACAGUGCUUAAUGUUUAAAUGCAUAAAUUCAGAAUUGUGCAAAAGUUUCUACAAACUGUGAAGAGCAGCCGGAAAGCCUCACAAUGCGGAUGGUUAUUUCCUGAGUCUAAUUGGAGCUGCACAUGGACUCUGAUUGAUUAUUGUACUGAACAGUUUGAAUAUUCAAAUCAACUCAAGCUGCGUCGCUGCUGUCAGGCGGCGUUAGUCCUGUGCUGUCAAUCGUCCUCCCGGCCACUGGCCCUCUUCCUGUCGCACUUCAUCCUGCGAGAUUUGUUCAGGCUCCAGGAUGAUCAUCGCUGCCAUGAAUCAAAAUGAAAGCAGCAAUAGACUUUGAUCUACUUACGGUUUGUAAUCCGGGCUCUGACAAGUGACAAACUGUCAGCAGCCAAUGGAGAUGGACAAGCAGCUUGUUUGGCGGGUACCACUGUUGCCUUGCAACGAGAAGGUCCUGGGUUCAAAUCCUGGUCAACGGUUUGUAUUGUAGUUCCUCCCACAGAAACUGGUUAACUGCUCUCUCUAAAUUGUCCUUUGAUAUGAGUGUGUGUGUGUGUGUUUGUGUAUUGUUGUAUUACCUGCUGAUGGAUUGAUGAUCUGUCCAGGGUCUCUUAUGCAUAAGAAAGGGCACUAUAUUGUAAAAAAGGGAAAGGAUUGUUUUCUGUCUUCUCAGCCAAAUUUAAGUUGGUAAACAAUGAUUUCAAAUAUUUUUAGAAAAGAAAAUAAAUCUUGUAAAGACUUGCUCAUUUGGGCAGGAAGUCCUAGCUUCUCCUGUAUCUGCUGUCCUCAAAGUGAUCUGUGAAUUCAACUGUUCUCUGAGCGAACUGACCUGGGUCAGAACCAGACAAGUUACGUAACUUGCGUUUGUUCUGACUGAGUCUAGACACCCAGAAUCAGCAGGAAUGUGACAGAACCGGCUGAGGUCAGAGCUGUGAGGGGACUCCAGAGCGGACCACUGACUUUAAGUGUGCAUUCUGUGAGCUUGUCUUGUUCCAGGGCCUAAAAGGCCCAACUCAUCACCACCACAUGGUUUAACAAAUGCAUGUGUAUAAAUGUAAGUCCUCCUUAAAAAUCUUACCAUUUGACAUGUAAUUCUGGACCACUUGCACUUUGCUCUCUUGAGGAAAUCAGACAGUUGUGCAAAUAGAAUCACGUAAACAUUUCAGAGAAAGAGAGAAAAAGCUUUGCUACAUCUGUAAAUACAUUCUUCCUUUCUGCAGCGCAAUGGCCUGAAUUCCUCUCAGAAUUGUUGAUCUUCUGUGUUGUCACUACAUAGUUAAUUUCCCCAGGGAGCACCAUAUAAAUUGCAUGCCACUGAACAGAGCUAAUAGCUGUGGUCUUGGAAAUAUGUUUGGCGGCAGCUUCCAAGAGGCUCGUGGAGGCGCAGCAUCCAACAAACUGCACUUCCUGCUCAUUAUUUCACAAUUGGGAACAAGUGUUUGGACUCCAUCUUUGUAUAUUGCCUUGUGGUCUCUCUGCAAUUUGUCGCUAUUAUGUUCCCAUUUUUUAGGGCGUGAGGUAAAUUUUGUGGUUAUCAGCGUUGAUGAAGCUGCUCACAUCUGCUGACUGGAGACAUGGAGGUCCGCAGAGCUGUGACCUCAUCGCUGCAUCACAAGCUAAUUGCUGUCAGAUUUAUACAAAUAUUUACAACAUCCACCUCCAACAUCAUCCUUGCAGGGAUGUAAAGGGAAACAAAGAUGGAAGAUGCAAAAGGAGAACCGGCACACAGAAAGGGCACGAAAUCUAACAAAGUCAGCACAGCUACAAAUAUUAGAGCUGAGAGAAACUGGGUGUAGAAAAAAAUAAACUUAAACUUUUGAAACAGUAUGGCUUUAUUGGAGUUUACCUGAUUGGCAUGUGGGAAAAAUGUCUUCCACUCUGUCAGAAAACGGUCUGUGCUGGUAAAUCAUGCCACAGAAAAAAGGGCUUAUGCUCUUUUUGCAUGUUACAAAAGCAGACAAUUCUAAACAAUAUGAUAUUUUUGUUAUUGUGGCACACAGAGAUCAGAAAAUAUAAGCACACAUAUUUUUAUUUUAAGAAAACAGAUUAUUGAAAGGAUGACACUAAAGUUCAGUUCUGAUGUAACUCACAGAAAACGGCUUUUUUUGCCCA
Molecule: long non-coding RNA, 2131 nt
Organism: Gambusia affinis (western mosquitofish)
Lineage: Eukaryota; Metazoa; Chordata; Actinopteri; Cyprinodontiformes; Poeciliidae
Exons: 3
Source: RefSeq, a predicted model, not a curated record